UGCAGUCGAACGAGAAAGGGUAGCAAUACCUGAGUAAAGUGGCGUACGGGUGAGUAACACGUGGAUCAUCUGCCCUUUGGUGGGGAAUAACUUCUGGAAACGGAAGAUAAUACCGCAUAAGUCCGAGAGGAGAACGCAGCAAUGCGCCGAAGGAGGAGUCCGCGGCUGAUUAGCUAGUUGGUAGGGUAAUGGCCUACCAAGGCGACGAUCGGUAGCCGGCCUGAGAGGGCACACGGCCACACUGGCACUGAGACACGGGCCAGACUCCUACGGGAGGCAGCAGUGGGGAAUCUUGCACAAUGGGGGAAACCCUGAUGCAGCGACGCCGCGUGAGUGAUGAAGCCCUUCGGGGUGUAAAGCUCUUUCGACGGGAACGAUAAUGACGGUACCCGGAGAAGAAGCUGCGGCUAACUACGUGCCAGCAGCCGCGGUAAUACGUAGGCAGCAAGCGUUGUUCGGAAUUACUGGGCGUAAAGAGUACGUAGGUGGUUUGCUAAGUCCGAUGUGAAAUCUCCUGGCUUAACUGGGAGGGUGCGUUAGAUACUGGCAGGCUUGAAUGUGGGAGAGGAGAGCGGAAUUCCUGGUGUAGCGGUGAAAUGCGUAGAUAUCAGGAGGAACGCCUGUGGUGUAGACGGCUCUCUGGACCAUUAUUGACACUGAGGUACGAAAGCGUGGGUAGCAAACAGGAUUAGAUACCCUGUAGUCCACGCCCUAAACGAUGCAUACUUGGUGUGGGCAGUUCAGUCUGUCCGUGCCGGAGCUAACGCGUUAAGUAUGCCGCCUGGGGAGUACGUCGCAAGGCUGAAACUCAAAGGAAUUGACGGGGGCCCGCACAAGCGG
Molecule: ribosomal RNA, 840 nt
Filed under: uncultured Actinomycetes bacterium
Lineage: Bacteria; Bacillati; Actinomycetota; Actinomycetes
Description: bacterial SSU rRNA
Rfam family: Bacterial small subunit ribosomal RNA
Source: RNAcentral